This 1374-nucleotide ribosomal RNA is filed under the name Triticum aestivum (bread wheat). RNAcentral describes it as "partial small subunit ribosomal RNA". The record is from RNAcentral. Lineage: Eukaryota; Viridiplantae; Streptophyta; Magnoliopsida; Poales; Poaceae.
AUGAGACCGCGGUCGAUGGCGACCAAGGGAUCAUCACAUCGCUCUCGCAGCAACCGCCGGCGCAGCAAGAGAGCGCGGCGGCCUUCCAGGGAAGCAGAGCCUACGCCGUCGGGUCCAACGGGCGUGCACCACAUCCCCGACCACCUCCUCGAGCUCGUGCUCCUGCGCGUGGGCACGCCCCUCGCCCUACUCCGCGCCGCCUCCACGUGCAAGCGCUGGCGCCGCCUAAUCUUCACGGACGAUGCCCCGUUCCCGGACCACCGGUUCCGCCGCUCCCUCCGCGCGGCCCGCGUAGCCGGCCACUACCACGUCGACGGGAACAACCACAUCUUCGUGCCGGACCCCUCAGCGGCCGAUGGCCUCGAUAGGCGCCACUUCUCCCUCGACUUCCUCCCGGCCGUCCCCCACGGCUCCCUGCCCUGGGAGCUCGCCGACAGCCGCGGUGGCCUCCUCCUCUUCUACAGGAGGGACGUUGUCUACUACCGGAUGGGUCAUGUGUGGGAAGGGGACCCCGAGUACCUCCACUUCCCUGACAUGGUCGUCUGCGACCCGCUCAACCGGAGGUACCAGGGGAUCCUCUACUGGGAGGAGAUGUGGCCCUACCAGUGCCUUGGUCUGUUCCUGCUCGACGCCGCCGCCGCCGACGAGCCUGCUGCAGGUGGUAGCUCCAUCGGCAUGUCCAACUUUCGGGUGGUCGCCGUGGUCUACGAAAGCGAUGUUUUCGAGGAUGACCGUGGCGCCCCGCGCGCCUGCGUGUUCUCCUCCGGCGGCGACGGCGGCUGGCGGCAGGAGAGCACGGCCGGCGACGACGUCCCCAUCCCAGAGUACCGUUCGAUCAGUUUCGCAGGACGCGCACGUUCAUCCUUCUUCUGGCGGAUGGAGCACGAGGGUGCCGUGCUCGCUCUCGACGAUGCCACCAUCCAGUUCUCGCUCGUCACGUUCCCGUCUACUGUCGUGGGGACGCCGGAGGAAUCUUCAGCCUUCUGGGCUAUCGGCGGCGGCGACGGCGCGGCGCGCAUUGUACGCGUGAUGGCCAACAAUGACCUCACGGUGUUUCAACAGCUCCAGAGCAGCGGCGAGUGGGUGGUGGAGAAGCUCGUGAGGCUGCCGGAGGCGACUAGCGGGUUGUCGGGGCGUGAGGAGACGUAUUUCCAGCAACCAGCAAAGAUUGUGGCGACGACUACGAGGCACGUCCUCGUGACGCCGCAGGAGGAGACCUGGAUUUUCUCCGUCGACCUUGAGACGCUGGAGGUGGACCGGGCGCAUGAGAGGAACCGGUAUGCCGGUGCCGCGUACCCAUUCGAGCUGCCAUGGGCACCGGCCUUGCGAGUUGACCAUCGCCGGCAUCGUGGCAGGAUGGAUUUAACGAUUUAA